RNAcentral lists this ribosomal RNA (471 nucleotides) under uncultured bacterium. RNAcentral describes it as "partial 16S ribosomal RNA". It matches the Rfam family "Bacterial small subunit ribosomal RNA", at positions 28 to 507 of the family's 1533-position model. The record is from RNAcentral.
GACGAACGCUGGCGGCGUGCUUAACACAUGCAAGUCGAACGAUGAAGCCUAGCUUGCUAGGUGGAUUAGUGGCGAACGGGUGAGUAAUACGUGAGUAACCUACCUUUAACUCUGGGAUAAGCCUGGGAAACUGGGUCUAAUACCGGAUACGACCAAUCUCCGCAUGGGGUGUUGGUGGAAAGCGGUAUGUAGUGGUUAUAGAUGGGCUCACGGCCUAUCAGCUUGUUGGUGAGGUAACGGCUCACCAAGGCGACGACGGGUAGCCGGCCUGAGAGGGUGACCGGCCACACUGGGACUGAGACACGGCCCAGACUCCUACGGGAGGCAGCAGUGGGGAAUAUUGCACAAUGGGCGCAAGCCUGAUGCAGCGACGCCGCGUGAGGGAUGACGGCCUUCGGGUUGUAAACCUCUGUUAGCAGGGAAGAAGAGAAAUUGACGGUACCUGCAGAGAAAGCGCCGGCUAACUACGUG